GACGAACGCUGGCGGCGUGCCUAAUACAUGCAAGUCGAACGCAUUUUCUUUCACCGUAGCUUGCUACACCGACAGAAAAUGAGUGGCGAACGGGUGAGUAACACGUGGGUAACCUGCCCAUCAGCGGGGGAUAACACUUGGAAACAGGUGCUAAUACCGCAUAAUUCCAUUUACUGCAUGGUAGAUGGAUGAAAGGCGCUUUUGCGUCACUGAUGGAUGGACCCGCGGUGCAUUAGCUAGUUGGUGGGGUAACGGCCUACCAAGGCUGCGAUGCAUAGCCGACCUGAGAGGGUGAUCGGCCAACAUGGGACUGAGAAACGGCCCAGACUCCUAAGGGAGGCAGCAGUAGGGAAUCAUCGGAAAUGGACGCAAGUCUGACCGAGCAACGCCGCGUGAGUGAAGAAGGGUUUCGGAUCGUAAAACUCUGUUGUUAGAAAAGAACAAGGAUGAGAGUGGAAAGUUCAUCCCUUGACGGUAUCUAAACAGAAAGCCACGGCUAACUACGUG
RNAcentral lists this ribosomal RNA (507 nucleotides) under uncultured bacterium. RNAcentral's name for it is "partial 16S ribosomal RNA". It matches the Rfam family "Bacterial small subunit ribosomal RNA", at positions 28 to 507 of the family's 1533-position model. The record is from RNAcentral.